Molecule: ribosomal RNA, 315 nt
Filed under: uncultured eukaryote
Lineage: Eukaryota
Description: partial 18S ribosomal RNA
Rfam family: Eukaryotic small subunit ribosomal RNA
Source: RNAcentral
CCCUUAGACGUUCUGGGCCGCACGCGCGCUACACUGACCAGUGCAACAAGCAUCCGUCCUUGACCGACAGGCCCGGGCAAUCUUUGAACGCUGGUCGUGAUGGGGAUAGACUUUUGCAAUUUUUGGUCUUCAACGAGGAAUUCCUAGUAAACGCAAGUCAUCAACUUGCAUUGAUUACGUCCCUGCCCUUUGUACACACCGCCCGUCGCACCUACCGAUUGAAUGGUCCGGUGAAGCCUCCGGAUUGGCGCGCACCUCGGUGCCGCCGAGAAGUUGGCUAAACCUUACCAUUUAGAGGAAGGUGAAGUCGUAACA